AUGGCUAGAUUCUUCAGUCCAGCUCUCGUUCCGCUCGUCUCUCUCGUUCUGCUCCUGCGCUCCGGUGCAUCAUCGGCACAGCACACGCUGAGCGCCGGGUCAUCCCUGUCGGUGGAAGACCACGAGCGGCCCUUCCUGGUGUCGCCGGACGCCACCUUCUCCUGCGGCUUCCUCCCAGCCGUCCACGUCGACAACGCCUUCUACUUCUCCGUCUGGUUCACCGCGGCCAAGAACCGGACCGCCGUCUGGACGGCCAACCCUGGCGCCCCCGUGAACGGCCGGGCUUCCCGUAUAUCCUUCGGCCACGACGGCGUGCUGGCCCUCGCCGACGCCAACGGGACGACUGUGUGGAACAGCAAGACCGGCGGCAACAAGCGCCUCGCCAGCUUCGACUGGCCGACGGACACGCUGCUCCCGUCGCAGACGCUGUCCAAGGACAAGAAGCUCGUCGCCGGCUACUACACCCUCUACUACGACAACGACAACGUGCUGCGCCUCCUCUACGACGGCCCGGAGAUCGCCAGCAUCUACUGGCUGGACCCGGACCUCGGCGUGUUCGGGAGCGGGCGGACCAACUACAACAGCUCACGGGUCGGCGUCCUGGACGACGCCGGGGUGUUCCUCUCCAGCGACAACCUGCGAGCCGAGGCCACCGACCUGGGCGUCGCCGGCGCCAAGAGACGGCUGACCGUCGAGCAGGACGGGAACCUGAGGAUGUACAGCCUGGACGCGGCCGGAGGAUGGACGGUCACGUGGGCGGCGCUGAAGCAGCCGUGCUCCGUCCACGGGCUGUGCGGCAAGAACGCCAUCUGCGAGUACCAGCCGUCCCUCCGGUGCUCCUGCGCGCCGGGGUUCACCGCCAACUGCAGCGGAGCCGUGGCGCCGGAGCGGUUCAAGUUCGUCAAGGUGGCCUACACCGACUUCUACGGCUACGACCUCGGGUUCAACCAGUCCGUCACGUUCCAAUACUGCAAGAGCAUCUGUUUGAAUACAUGUUCCUGCAUCGCCUUCUCCUACCGGACGGAUGGCCAGGGCAGGUGCUACCCCAAAGGCCUCCUGUUUAACGGCUACACCUCGCCGGCGUUCCCCGGAAGCAUAUAUCUCAAGGUGCCUGGCGAUCUCAACGCCACGGCACCGACGCCGUCCGCGGGCCUCGACUGCAAUCAUAAUGGUUCCGGCGCUGCCAUCGUCUCGCCAUACGCGUACACGUACGGGGUACCCAGCGGCCACACAAGCUGGUCCUACGUUUUCGCCUUCGCCGCAGCACUCGGAUUUCUCGAGCUUCUCCUUUUCUUGGUCGCCAUGGCAUGGUGGUUCCUGUCAGGACAUGAGAGUAUCCCAUUCCCGAGCUCUCUGGAGGCAUCGGGCUACAGGCUGAUCUUGGGGACCCAGUUCAGGAGGUUCACGUAUCGGGAGCUCGAGACUGCGACUGGGAACUUCAACGAGGAGCUCGGCCGGGGCGGCUCCGGCGUUGUGUACCGCGGCGUGCUUGACCACCGUGGUGGCGACAUGCACCUGUUCGGCGAGGACAUCGGCAAAGCGCUGGCAUGGGGUGAGCGGUUCAAGAUCGCUUUGGGUGCGGCCAGGGGCCUAGCCUACCUUCACCACGAGUGCCUCGAGUGGGUCAUUCACUGCGACGUCAAGCCGGAGAACAUCCUGCUCACGCGGAACCUCGACCCAAAGAUCUCUGAUUUCGGGCUGGCCAAGCUGGCCGGGAGGAAGGCCAUUGGCGACGGCGUACAACUCUCCCACAUGAGGGGGACGACGGGGUACAUGGCACCCGAGUGGGCGCUGAGUCUGCCGGUUGACGCCAAGUCUCCAUUGCUCGAUAUUGCUCCUGAUUGCCGUGAGAACAUCAUCCACCCGCGGUGUUUUUUCCCGGAAAACGCAGUGGUUCCUUUCCCUCCACAAUUCCCAGGCGAUCAUGAUGAUCAGCGAUCUGAUUCCGCGCCUGCAAGCGGUAGCAGUCUUGUUGAUGAGGAGUUGGCAAGUCUGUGCCGAGCUGAGCCGAGACGUCGUGACUGGUGCCAGCGAAGAGCAGCCUGA
Molecule: ribosomal RNA, 2046 nt
Filed under: Triticum aestivum (bread wheat)
Lineage: Eukaryota; Viridiplantae; Streptophyta; Magnoliopsida; Poales; Poaceae
Description: partial small subunit ribosomal RNA
Source: RNAcentral